CACUUUCGGAUAGAGAAAGAUACAAAAUUUUUCCCGGAUUGGUUCACUUAAGAAUAUCUUUAAGUCUAUUAGCAUCUUUCAUUCAAUAAUUAGUAGUACAAUGUCUGGCAUAUGGUAAGAGCUCAGUUGGUGAUCUAUCUGUUAUUAUUAGUUUUUAUUGUUCUUGUUUACUGCAGAUUUAUUAGUGACAGUGGUAGAAGUCAUAGCAGCUGGGAGUUUCAAAAUGGGCAGUGAAAGAAGAAGAGCAAGUAUGGGAGAAGGGAAAAGUGCUCUUUCAAAGAAGACUGUAAGCUGAUCGUGGGGAGAAAGGAGGAGGUCCUGGAACUGAACAAUGACUUCCCUGAGUCACCUCUCCUGGUUUCAGUUGUUGGCAUCAUCACCAGCUCUUCUCAGUGACUACACCAUCCACACCGUGCUCUCAACUGGUCAAACAGAUCCCUGGAUUUUUUCUUCGAAUCUGUAGCUCAUGACUUCAGGAUUGCUUGGAAGAGAAAAGUAUGAAUGGAGAAUGAGAGGUAUUAAACAUUAAUGACCAUUCCUAUAAUGAGGGGCAAGAACGGCUCUCGGCAGUAGAGCUGCCCAUUCAUGUGGGUAGUGUUGGAUUUUCAACAGCAGCAUGCUUCACCACUUUUUUUUCCUGCUCCUUUUAUCCCUCUGAGAAUCUUCAGCCUGAAGGUACACUUGGCGUGAAAACUCCAGUUUGGCUUUUCCUUGGGUUUGAUGCAGAGGUAACUGGUGCAAAUAAAAACCUAAAUAGAAAGUCUUGGGAAGGGACCCCAGGGAAAAAACUUAAAAAUAGAGCAGAAAGCUCUGGGUUUUGUUGUUGUUUGUUUGUUGUUGCUUGUUUGUUUUUUUUAAAUUGGGCAACAAGAGUAAACUUUAGUUGUAAUGAGUUGCCAAAAACUGUGCUCCAGUAUUUCAUUUUAUCUUAAAGAAUCUGAAUUUGGAUAAAUAGUCACUGUUUCUAACUACUGUGA
This 977-nucleotide long non-coding RNA is filed under the name Ursus maritimus (polar bear). RNAcentral describes it as "lncRNA (ENSUMAG00000000064.1)". Lineage: Eukaryota; Metazoa; Chordata; Mammalia; Carnivora; Ursidae. The record is from RNAcentral.